CUGCUUGCAGGGUACUCGAGUGGCGAACGGGUGAGUAACACGUGGGUGAUCUGCCCCUGACUUUGGGAUAAGCCUGGGAAACUGGGUCUAAUACCGGAUAUGACCUUACAUCGCAUGGUGUUUGGUGGAAAGCUUUUGCGGUUGGGGAUGGGCCCGCGGCCUAUCAGCUUGUUGGUGGGGUAAUGGCCUACCAAGGCGACGACGGGUAGCCGACCUGAGAGGGUGAUCGGCCACACUGGGACUGAGACACGGCCCAGACUCCUACGGGAGGCAGCAGUGGGGAAUAUUGCACAAUGGGCGCAAGCCUGAUGCAGCGACGCCGCGUGAGGGAUGACGGCCUUCGGGUUGUAAACCUCUUUCACCAGGGACGAAGCGCGAGUGACGGUACCUGGAGAAGAAGCACCGGCCAACUACGUGCCAGCAGCCGCGGUAAUACGUAGGGUGCGAGCGUUGUCCGGAAUUACUGGGCGUAAAGAGCUCGUAGGCGGUUUGUCGCGUCGUCUGUGAAAUUCUGCAACUCAAUUGCAGGCGUGCAGGCGAUACGGGCAGACUUGAGUACUACAGGGGAGACUGGAAUUCCUGGUGUAGCGGUGAAAUGCGCAGAUAUCAGGAGGAACACCGGUGGCGAAGGCGGGUCUCUGGGUAGUAACUGACGCUGAGGAGCGAAAGCGUGGGUAGCGAACAGGAUUAGAUACCCU
RNAcentral lists this ribosomal RNA (698 nucleotides) under Gordonia sp. (in: high G+C Gram-positive bacteria). Its description in RNAcentral is "bacterial SSU rRNA". It matches the Rfam family "Bacterial small subunit ribosomal RNA", at positions 76 to 788 of the family's 1533-position model. The record is from RNAcentral. Lineage: Bacteria; Bacillati; Actinomycetota; Actinomycetes; Mycobacteriales; Gordoniaceae.